CGUAACACGUGAGCAAUCUGCCGGGAAGUGGGGGAUAACUCGCCGAAAGGCGAAUUAAUACCGCAUAUGGCCAGGGAAGACAUCUUCCCGAAGCCAAAGUCGCAAGACGCUUCCUGAUGAGCUCGCGGCCUAUCAGCUAGUUGGUGAGGUAACGGCUCACCAAGGCUAUGACGGGUAGCUGGUCUGAGAGGACGACCAGCCACACUGGAACUGAGACACGGUCCAGACACCUACGGGUGGCAGCAGUCGAGAAUUUUUCACAAUGGGGGAAACCCUGAUGGAGCGACGCCGCGUGGAGGAUGAAGGUUUUCGGAUUGUAAACUCCUGUCAAAUGGGAACAAGAAAGUGAUAGUACCAUUAGAGGAAGAGACGGCUAACUCUGUGCCAGCAGCCGCGGUAAUACAGAGGUCUCAAGCGUUGUUCGGAUUCAUUGGGCGUAAAGGGUGCGCAGGCUGUGGGGUAAGUCGGAUGUGAAAUUUAGGGGCUCAACCUCUAAACUGCAUUCGAUACUGCUCCGCUAGAGGUAUGUAGAGGAGAUUGGAAUUCAC
Molecule: ribosomal RNA, 548 nt
Filed under: uncultured Verrucomicrobiota bacterium
Lineage: Bacteria; Pseudomonadati; Verrucomicrobiota
Description: bacterial SSU rRNA
Rfam family: Bacterial small subunit ribosomal RNA
Source: RNAcentral